Molecule: long non-coding RNA, 450 nt
Organism: Mustela erminea (ermine)
Lineage: Eukaryota; Metazoa; Chordata; Mammalia; Carnivora; Mustelidae
Exons: 3
Source: RefSeq, a predicted model, not a curated record
AAUCAUGCCCAGAACUUCAAAGGGAAGCAAGUGAAUCUGGCAUCUGGGAAGUCACUGAUGAGUUCUUCCGACUGCUGGUCAACAAACAUUACUCCACACAUGCUGGCGCCAGGCCCUGUGCUGGGCAGGUGGUCUGCACCUGUGAACAGCACAGACAGUGCCCGAUGAUCGUGAGGCUUGUGGUUCUCAGGAAGAUAGGAGUCAACAGGAGACCGCGGCCCAGACGGUUGUGUCAGCCGGACGACAUCCAGCCAAGCCUCUGCUUUUCUUCCCACGUUGAAAGAAUUGUUGUGACAAUUUGCUGUCCCUUGCAGUUCCGAAGAAUGUUCAUAUCUACUUGUCAACUCCUACAAAGAAGUCAGCUGGGAUUCUGGUAGGGUUUACACUAAAUCUGAGAUCGGUUUGAGAAGUACUGCCAUCUUAACAAUAUGAAGUCUUCUGAUUUAUGAA